Molecule: ribosomal RNA, 878 nt
Filed under: Stagonospora imperaticola
Lineage: Eukaryota; Fungi; Ascomycota; Dothideomycetes; Pleosporales; Massarinaceae
Description: eukaryotic LSU rRNA
Rfam family: Eukaryotic large subunit ribosomal RNA
Source: RNAcentral
GCGGAGGAAAAGAAACCAACUGGGAUUGCCCUAGUAACGGCGAGUGAAGCGGCAAUAGCUCAAAUUUGAAAUCUGGCUCCUUUUAGGGGUCCGAGUUGUAAUUUGCAGAGGGUGCUUUGGCGUUGGUAGCGGUCUAAGUUCCUUGGAACAGGACAUCGCAGAGGGUGAGAAUCCCGUUUGUGGUCGCAUGCCUUCGCCGUGUAAAGCCCCUUCGACGAGUCGAGUUGUUUGGGAAUGCAGCUCUAAAUGGGAGGUAAAUUUCUUCUAAAGCUAAAUACUGGCCAGAGACCGAUAGCGCACAAGUAGAGUGAUCGAAAGAUGAAAAGCACUUUGGAAAGAGAGUCAAACAGCACGUGAAAUUGUUGAAAGGGAAGCGCUUGCAGCCAGACUUGCCCGUAGUUGCUCACCUAGGCUUUUGCCUGGGGCAUUCUUCUGCGGGCAGGCCAGCAUCAGUUUGGGCGGUCGGAUAAAGGCCUCUGUCAUGUAGCUUCCUUCGGGAAGAACUUAUAGGGGAGGCGAAAUGCGACCAGCCUGGACUGAGGUCCGCGCUUCGGCUAGGAUGCUGGCGUAAUGGCUGUAAGCGGCCCGUCUUGAAACACGGACCAAGGAGUCUAACAUCUAUGCGAGUGUUUGGGUGUCAAGCCCGAGCGCGUAAUGAAAGUGAACGGAGGUGGGAACCCUUUGGGCGCACCAUCGACCGAUCCUGAUGUCUUCGGAUGGAUUUGAGUAAGAGCAUAGCUGUUGGGACCCGAAAGAUGGUGAACUAUGCUUGAAUAGGGUGAAGCCAGAGGAAACUCUGGUGGAGGCUCGCAGCGGUUCUGACGUGCAAAUCGAUCGUCAAAUUUGGGCAUAGGGGCGAAAGACUAAUCGAACUGCUC